UCUUGGCCUGCUCCUGUCUGUGCUUUGUAAAGGCCCUUCUGAAGUAGUUGUUUUGCACCAGAUCCUCCUGGUUUCAGCAGGUGGGUUUAGAAGCUAGACCUGUGCAGACCCAGAGCUCCUGGCACCUGGGGUGGGAAUGCCAGGUGAGGCCAGUUAGGGCAAUCAGGGCUAAUUAAAGCAGGAGGGGCUGGCAGGUGGCUGUGUCUCUCAGUUAGACCUUUGUAAGCUCUGGUGAGAGCACAACUGUUGGUGUUCCAUAGCACUGUGUGAGGAGGAUGAGUACAACAGCAAGUAAAGAAAGCACAGAAGAGGUCUCGCAGCAUGGGCAGCGUGAUGCCUCCCCGAGCCGUUCCUGCUGGAGCUUCUGUGCCUUCAGCGAGGCGUGGUGCUCAAGGUCAGGCAGCAAACGAGUCUGCCUCAGGAAUGAGGAAAAGAAGGUAGCAUCUAUUCUGGGAGACACCUUCCAGGCAGCUCUGCAGAUCUGACAGUUAAUAUUUGAACAGAUUCAAAUAUACUUUCCUUCGCUACCCACAGAAGUAGGCUUUCAGCUCUUUCUAGGUUAUAGCUUCUCUUGGCAGCUGUUUGUUGCGAACCUUUUGGUGUUGAUUGGUGGGUUUUGGUACUGCACAAUAGAACGCGUUGCGGCGUUUUUCCUACUGAUAGAGUGAUGAUAUGGAUCCUCAAAUUAACUCCUCUUUAGGGAAAGAAAACAAAAUGACAGUCUCUAGGAAGGUGUUGGAGGAAAAUUCCCAAUGUUGUGAUUUACUUGAAGUAAAUUUAUUUCUGGAAUAUCUACAGAGCAAUUCAGUAAAACCCCUGCAAUAUUUUUGUCAUACGUAGGCCACGUAAUUAUAGUUGAGAGU
RNAcentral lists this long non-coding RNA (863 nucleotides) under Numida meleagris (helmeted guineafowl). Its description in RNAcentral is "lncRNA (ENSNMEG00000016786.1)". The record is from RNAcentral. Lineage: Eukaryota; Metazoa; Chordata; Aves; Galliformes; Numididae.